AUACGGAGGGUGCAAGCGUUAUUCGGAAUCACUGGGCGUAAAGGACGCGUAGGCGGGUUGGCAAGUCAGAUGUGAAAUCCUACAGCUUAACUGUAGAACUGCAUUUGAAACUGCUAACCUAGAGUAUGGGAGGGGGAGAUGGAAUUAGUGGUGUAGGAGUAAAAUCCGUAGAUAUCACUAGGAAUACCGAAAGCGAAGGCGAUCUCCUGGAACAUAACUGACGCUAAGGCGUGAAAGCGUGGGGAGCAAACAGGAUUAGAAACCCUAGUAGUCC
Molecule: ribosomal RNA, 274 nt
Filed under: uncultured bacterium
Lineage: Bacteria
Description: partial 16S ribosomal RNA
Rfam family: Bacterial small subunit ribosomal RNA
Source: RNAcentral